Molecule: ribosomal RNA, 460 nt
Filed under: uncultured bacterium
Lineage: Bacteria
Description: partial 16S ribosomal RNA
Rfam family: Bacterial small subunit ribosomal RNA
Source: RNAcentral
CCUACGGGAGGCAGCAGUGAGGAAUAUUGGUCAAUGGACGAGAGUCUGAACCAGCCAAGUAGCGUGAAGGAUGACUGCCCUAUGGGUUGUAAACUUCUUUUAUAAAGGAAUAAAACGAGGCACGUGUGCCUUUUUGCAUGUACUUUAUGAAUAAGGAUCGGCUAACUCCGUGCCAGCAGCCGCGGUAAUACGGAGGAUCCGAGCGUUAGCCGGAUUUAUUGGGUUUAAAGGGAGCGUAGAUGGGUUGUUAAGUCAGUUGUGAAAGUUUGCGGCUCAACCGUAAAAUUGCAAUUGAUACUGGCAGUCGUGAGUACAGUUGAGGUAGGCGGAAUUCGUGGUGUAGCGGUGAAAUGCUUAGAUAUCACGAAGAACCCCGAUUGCGGAGGCAGCUUACUAAACUGUGACUGACAUUGAUGCUCGAAAGUGUGGGUAUCAAACAGGAUUAGAUACCCUAGUAGUC